RNAcentral lists this ribosomal RNA (496 nucleotides) under uncultured bacterium. Its description in RNAcentral is "partial 16S ribosomal RNA". It matches the Rfam family "Bacterial small subunit ribosomal RNA", at positions 28 to 506 of the family's 1533-position model. The record is from RNAcentral.
GAUGAACGCUGGCGGCGUGCCUAAUACAUGCAAGUCGAGCGAACAGACGAGGAGCUUGCUCCUCUGACGUUAGCGGCGGACGGGUGAGUAACACGUGGAUAACCUACCUAUAAGACUGGGAUAACUUCGGGAAACCGGAGCUAAUACCGGAUAAUAUAUUGAACCGCAUGGUUCAAUAGUGAAAGACGGUUUUGCUGUCACUUAUAGAUGGAUCCGCGCCGCAUUAUCUAGUUGGUAAGGUAACGGCUUACCAAGGCGACGAUGCGUAGCCGACCUGAGAGGGUGAGCGGCCACACUGGAACUGAGAGACGGUCCAGACACCUACGGGAGGCAGCAGUAGGGAAUCUUCCGCGAUGGGCGAAAGCCUGACGGAGCAACGCCGCGUGAGUGAUGAAGGGCUUCGGAUCGUAAAACUCUGUUAUUAGGGAAGAACAAAUGUGUAAGUAACUAUGCACGUCUUGACGGUACCUAAUCAGAAAGCCACGGCUAACUACGU